AGAUACCCAGGAGAUCUUCCAAACAGGCUCAUUCCGAAACGGCUUGGCGGAAGCUGACCGAGUAUACUUGCGACAGAUUGCAAUUAGAAGAUACUUAAGAUAUAUUUCUGCAAGGCAAGUAUUCUCCCCUCCUUCCCCGUAUUCCCCGUCUUCCCCUUUGAUCUUCCACCAUUUGGGUGCGAGCUUACUAUUGUCGGAACUAAAUACGUCCGAAUAUUGUCCCAAAUACUGAAUAUCGAUAAAAUAAAUUGAAUUGAUUAUUCUCACUCCAAUAAUUACAUGAUAAUCAGGCAGUAUUUAUAAGAAAGAGAAUGCUCGAAUAUAUGAUAGGGGCAGUGCUGGUAUAUAUCGGAGCAGUGAUCCGGUUUCCGGAAUUGAGAUAAUAGAAGAUCCUUGAUAUGAUAUAUCAUUUCUCACAACUAUCAUCGAGGAACAAGCAUGUUAUUAUGAGUUCGGAGCCCAUUCUCGUAGGAUAAUGCAGCAUUUUCCGCAAUUCAACAAGUUGUCGGCGCUUCUUGAACUUUCGAUACGAGAGGUAGAACUCUGUUACGAAGCUCAGUAAGAACAAUCAACCUUGGAAGCGGCCGAUGCUUGCGCUCUUAUGCGCCGUGUUCUUUCGUCUCCCCGAAUUUAUACAUGGUUAUGUGACUAUCUUCCACACCCC
Molecule: small RNA, 664 nt
Filed under: Histoplasma ohiense
Lineage: Eukaryota; Fungi; Ascomycota; Eurotiomycetes; Onygenales; Ajellomycetaceae
Description: hypothetical lncRNA
Source: RNAcentral